RNAcentral lists this long non-coding RNA (1455 nucleotides) under Homo sapiens (human). RNAcentral describes it as "non-protein coding lnc-CCAR2-2:4". The record is from RNAcentral. Lineage: Eukaryota; Metazoa; Chordata; Mammalia; Primates; Hominidae.
CCUGACCAGACCUUUGCUCUCUAACUCCGGCUGGACAGAGGCAGCCCAGCAGCCCCCUAGCAUCCAUCUGGCUUGGGGAGUGGUGCCCCAGGGCUUAUGAGUGAGCUGGAACCCCAUGUCCUGGAAUCCCGAGUGGCUGUGACUGCUGACUGAUGCCCCCCUCCCCACAGUUCUGGAGAGUGGCUCAGCAGUCUCCCCGAGCUCCGGCCCUAGCAGUCCUCCCGUCUCCCCUCUGUCUGGACAUCGCCUUCUUACAAUGCAGAACAGACGAUGCACUGUCUCAGGUCACGCUUAGCCUCCUACGGGGGCACGACAGAAGAAGAGGAACAUUUAGAGAGGCACAGCUCCUACAUCCUUGGAUGGGGAGAGUGGGGAGCAAACAGGCCAGGAGCCUACUGUGAUCAGAGCUGGGGGAGCCAGUGUGAGCAGCAGGUGCAAUGAAAGGAUGUGGGAGUUUGAGACCCAUCUCUGCUGUGUGGCCCUGGCCAUGUGCAGUGGGUAAGUACAUCAGCAAGCAAACUGGCCUCAAGAAUCCCGCCCUAUCCUGGGCAUCUGGGGUUGAGGCUGGCUGUGCCAACCUUUGCACAGGGUUUCAAUCUGACCUCACUCAGAAAACGGAGCCACUUGCUUAGAGUCCCUCUCUCUGAACACGCUCUCCCCUCUGGAGGAAAAGCAUUGCAAUCCCAAGCUCCUGCUGCUGCCGUACAUCUGCAUCUUAUUCAUCUUUGAAGCUCCUGCAAUGCCUCCAACGGGGACACAACUAAAGGAAGCUCUCAGAACGCCCAGCUAUCCCCACUGCAGAAGGCUCUCCCUGAAAGGGCACAGGUGGAGGACGUUUGCAUUUAUCUGGAGACAGUUCAUGGAGAAACACAAAGAGGUGUCCUGACAAGACAACAGGUCCACAGCAGUCGUCAUCAUGAGUGCUCACCAUAUGCCAGGGUUCAUCUUUUAAAAUCCUUAACCAAACAACCAAACUGUGGUUGGGAUUAUUCUCUUUUUAUAGGUGAGAAAACUGAGGCUGAAAGCCAUUGGGUGGUUUGCCAAAGCUGAGAAGUAGCUGAGCUGGGGUUUGUACUCACACCACGGUGACUCGGAGGCCCAAGCCAGUUCUGACACACUGCCUUCCCAUGACAUUCCCACGACAGGUUCCCGAGGUCGUUGGAAUGCUUACACAUUUCAGCAACUUCAUGGCAACUGCCCAGCUCGACCCAGAAGAUAAUACUACCUUGUACUCCCCCUGCCGCUUCCUUCCUCCAGGCAGCUCACAGACAUGACCUCAUUCCCUCUCCCAGAGUCCCAUAGGGGUGAAGGACAGGGUGGGGAUCGUUAACUCUGCUUCCUAGGGAGGAAAGGGAGGCCCAGAGAGGGAUGCUGGCCCACCCUGGGUCAUCCAGCCAGCUAGCGGGAGAGCUGCAACUGGAAAUCAGGCUUCCCUGCCCUCGGGGACAGUUAUUU